UACGUAGGGUGCAGGCGUUAAUCGGAAUUACUGGGCGUAAAGCGUGCGCAGGCGGUUCGUUGUGUCGGUGGUGAAAGCCCCGGGCUUAACCUGGGAAUGGCCUGGAAACUGGCGAACUGGAGUGUGGCAGAGGGGGGUGGAAUUCCGCGUGUAGCAGUGAAAUGCGUAGAGAUGCGGAGGAACACCGAUGGCGAAGGCAGCCCCCUGGGCUAGCACUGACGCUCAGGCACGAAAGCGUGGGGAGCAAACAGG
RNAcentral lists this ribosomal RNA (252 nucleotides) under uncultured bacterium. RNAcentral's name for it is "partial 16S ribosomal RNA". It matches the Rfam family "Bacterial small subunit ribosomal RNA", at positions 524 to 776 of the family's 1533-position model. The record is from RNAcentral.